Long non-coding RNA from Ceratina calcarata, 1902 nucleotides. RefSeq lists it as uncharacterized. NCBI's taxonomy places the organism in Eukaryota, Metazoa, Arthropoda, Insecta, Hymenoptera, Apidae. The record is from RefSeq and is a predicted model, not a curated record. The transcript is spliced from 5 exons.
CUUUCAGGAAACAGGAUUGAGAGAGAAGCUAUUGGGAAUUUUUGAUUGAUGGAACGGAUUAAUUAUCUGACUGAUCUGCCGUAGACAAUGAUAGGAAAGUACGAUUGAUUCGGAAGGAUGCUGUUCGAGUCUGUCGGAUGAUGAAUAGAAUUUAUAUACUUAAUGCUUUCGUUGUUGACAGCGGUAAGGAAUCGUGUUUAAUUGAGAGGUAUUCAAGGACGGACGUUGACAUGAUAAUGAAUUUUAACUGACUAUUGAUGAGAAAGAGGGCUCUUUAGGAAGUGGUAAAAGAGAGAAGCUGCCGGAAAUAAAUGUGUAAUGGAAUGAAUUACAUACCUGUUUGAUCUGCUGUAGAUGAUGAUUGAUGAGAGAGAGGAACUUUCAGGAAGCAGGAAAGAGAGAGAAGCUAUUGUAAAAUAUUUGAAGGACGGAAUAGAUUAAUUAUUUAAACGAUCUGCUGUAGAUAAUAAUAGGAAAUACGGUUGAUUUGGAAGAAUGCUGUUUGAGCUUGUCGAAUGAUGAAUAGAACUCAUACUUGAUACUUUCAUUGUUGAUAACGUUAGGAAGAAAAUCUUCGGGAAACGGAGGAUAGAGAGAAAUCGUUGGAAUUAACUGUAUGAUGAUUGGUCUGCUGUAAAUGAUGAUAGGAAAUGAGAUUGAUCCUGGAAGAUGUUGCUGGAGUAAUUUGAACGACGAUUAGUAUUUAUUUUUGAUGGUCUUGUUGUUGACAGCGGUAAGGAAUUAUGUUUGACUCGGAGGCAGUAAAGAACGGGCAUUGACACGGAAAUGAAUCUCAAUUAACUAUUGAUGAAAGAAAGGAGUUUGUAGAAAGCAGGAAAAGGGAGAAGCUGCUAGAAAUAAUUGUAUGUUGGAAUGAAUUAAAUAUCUGAUUGAUCUGCCGUAGAUGAUGGUAGGAAAGUGUGAUUGAUCCUAAAGAUACCGCUCGAAUGGGUUGAACGGAGAAUAGUGUCUAUACUCGAUGGUCUUGUUGAUGACAGUGGUAAGGGAUUACAAUUGAUUCAUAGACAAUAAACAUUCGAGGACGAGUGUUGACGUGAUGAAUGGAAUCUUUUCAUUAUCUGUAAAUGAGAGAGAGGAAUUUUCAAGAAACAGAAAAGAGAGAGAAGCUAUUGCAAAUAUUUGAACGAUGAAAUGGAUUAAUUAUCUGAUCGAUUUGCCGUAGACGAUGAUAGGAAAAUACGAUUGAUUCGGAGGGAUGCGUUUCGAGCUCGUCGGAUGAUGAAUAGAAUUUAUACUAGAUGUUUUCGUUGUUGACAGCGGAAAUCUUCAGGAAACGAAAGAUAGAGGGUAGUCGUUGGAGAUAAUUGUACGAUGAUUGGUCUGCUGUAGAUGAUGAUAGGAAAACGUGUUUGAUCCUGAUGGAUACUGCUGGAGUAAUUUGAACGACAAUUAGUAUUCAUAUUUGAUGAUCUCGUUGUUGACAGAGACGAGGAAGAGGAACUUUUAUGAAACAGGAAAGAGAGAGGAGUUAUUGGAAAUAUUCGAAUGAUGGAAGGGAUUAAUUAUCUGACUGAUCUGCCGUAAACGGUGACAGGAAAAACGAUUGAUUUGGAAAGGUGCGGUUCGAGCUUGUCGAUCGAUGAAUAGUCUUUUAUAUUUGAGGGUCUUGUUGUGGACAGCAGUAAGGAAUUGUGUUUGAUUCAGAGGCAGUAAAGAACGGGCGUUGACAUGAUAAUGAAUUUUAAUUAAUUAUUGAUGAAGGAGAGGAAUUUUUAGGAAAUGGAAAAAGAGAGAAGUUGCUGGAAAUAAUUGUAUGACGAAAUGAAUUAAAUACCUGAUUGAUCUGCUGUAGACGAUGGUAGGAAAGUGCGAUUGAUCCUAAAGGUACCGCUCGAAUAAGCUGAGCGGGAAUAGUGUCUAUACUCGACGGUCUCGUUGUUG